GACGAACGCUGGCGGCGUGCUUAACACAUGCAAGUCGAACGGAAAGGCCCUGCUUUUGUGGGGUGCUCGAGUGGCGAACGGGUGAGUAACACGGGAGUAACCUGCCCUUGACUUUGGGAUAACUUCAGGAAACUGGGGCUAAUGCCGGAUAGGAGCUCCUGCUGCAUGGUGGGGGUUGGAAAGUUUCGGCGGUUGGGGAUGGACUCGCGGCUUAUCAGCUUGUUGGUGGGGUAGUGGCUUACCAAGGCUUUGACGGGUAGCCGGCCUGAGAGGGUGACCGGCCACAUUGGGACGGAGAUACGGCCCAGACUCCUACGGGAGGCAGCAGUGGGGAAUAUUGCACAAUGGGCGGAAGCCUGAUGCAGCAACGCCGCGUGCGGGAUGACGGCCUUCGGGUUGUAAACCGCUUUCGCCUGUGACGAAGCGUGAGUGACGGUAAUGGGGAAAGAAGCACCGGCUAACUACGU
This 467-nucleotide ribosomal RNA is filed under the name uncultured bacterium. RNAcentral describes it as "partial 16S ribosomal RNA". It matches the Rfam family "Bacterial small subunit ribosomal RNA", at positions 28 to 506 of the family's 1533-position model. The record is from RNAcentral.